GCAGACAGAAGAAAAGAAAAAGAUAAGCAAAAAGAACAAGCCAGUCAAUCCAGUCAAUACAGUCAACCCCAGUCACACAGAGUACUCCCCUCAUCCAUGAACCCAUCCAAAACAGAGUCACCAUCACAGAUUGUCCCCUACCCGGGAUGUUCUCCAAUUCAAAUAAGCAAUAGAUUCGCCAGUCUGGGCCAAAUUCGUCCCAGCUUCCAGUCUGCCCUAAUAUUCAGUCAUGAUCCUUUCUAGGAUAUCACCCAG
RNAcentral lists this long non-coding RNA (255 nucleotides) under Prunus persica (peach). Its description in RNAcentral is "long non-coding RNA (PPER_LNC007046)". The record is from RNAcentral. Lineage: Eukaryota; Viridiplantae; Streptophyta; Magnoliopsida; Rosales; Rosaceae.